This 260-nucleotide long non-coding RNA is filed under the name Elaeis guineensis (African oil palm). RNAcentral describes it as "long non-coding RNA (EGUI_LNC008259)". The record is from RNAcentral. Lineage: Eukaryota; Viridiplantae; Streptophyta; Magnoliopsida; Arecales; Arecaceae.
UCAGGGCUCUCUCUCCCCACAUAUCUCAGAAAAAGAGAAUGAAAUCAAAAGAAAAAAAAAUUGAAAAGAAAAAAAUGAUCAAUUUAUGUUGGUUUUUCCGUCUUGUCUUUGUUUUUCAUUGAUUUUUCCUAUGUUUUCCCCCAUUUUUCCUCUGAUUUUUUAUCCUUAGGAGUCUUGAUCGGGUGGGAGGCUUGGAGUGGCCGAAUAAGAAAGCUUAGACGAUGGCUAGGGUUCUAAAAUGGGGCCGCCGUCGCCAUUGC